Xyrichtys novacula (pearly razorfish) is the source of this 8744-nucleotide non-coding RNA. The record is from the annotation of a GenBank genome assembly. Lineage: Eukaryota; Metazoa; Chordata; Actinopteri; Labriformes; Labridae.
AAAAAAAAACAAAAAAAAACAACACCAAAUAUUUGGCCUCACACCUGGACACGACACAUUUCUGUUGACCAUUUUGGAGUUUAUGUGCGGGGAACAGAGCGAAUUUUUAAAAUGGUUCGAGUUAUUCUUCUAUUUUGGCAUUUGCUCCAUUUUUGCUGUAUUUUUAACCAUGGAGAAGCAGGAUGUACAAGUACGGCAACACCAUUUAGACAAACGACACAAACAAGGACAGAGACAUUUAACAUCAUCUUGUGGAUCUCGGGAAAGAGAGUUCAUCAGCUGACUGUAGUACUCAAGUGAAUUUACUGUCCACUUCUGUAUGGCACAGAUGUGAAUCGACACUGAAGGUGAACCCAGGCAAAGACAGACUAGACAGACUGUGUUGGCGUUUCAAAGAUGCAGUAAGGGUACAGGAUCUAUCUAUGUGUGGGACUAAAACAUAACCAUCAAGUUAUGUCAUGAAGCUUUCCAUAAAUAACAGGGUCGGACUCUCAAGCUGUAUUCACACAUGUAUUCACAAAACCCCUGAAAACUUCCCAACAUUUUCAGGAUGGGCUGAAGUUUUUCCUCUUCACUUUACGACAACCUCCUGCUAAAAUUUUCUUGCAAAAGUCGGGCUGCGAUGAUGUGAAAAGGCAACUACUGCAAGUGAGUGGGCAGAAGGGAUGAUGUUUAUAUCAUGCAACCAGAGCAGGAAGAGCAAAAUGUUGUAGGAUGAAUAAAACAAGAAUAGAGCAGGUGCAUGCACAUGCAACAUUGGUAUAAAUGUACAAACUGUCAGCUAAGUAUAGGUCCUUCUUCCUUUUCAGCUAUUAUGGUGUUAACAUUACACUGCUGCUUUUUUCAGUGUUCUUUUUAUGUCGUGUCCUGGAGUGAUCCUAAACCUGAAGUGAACCCUUAAGGUACUUUCAUAGCAGGACAUCCUGCAGCAUUGUGUAUUCCCUCCUGGCGUAGGGUAACAGCAACCCCGAGUUUCAAGGAUAUGCUACUCAGGUUACACAAAAGGCAUCAGCUGGAAUAUUUAAACACACACAGCCUCGACUAAAUAUAUUUAAGCCAAAAUGCAAAAAUGUUCAGGGUAUUUUAUUUUAUUUUUUACACUUUCAACUCAGAUUGGAGAUGAUCAUUUUAAAGGUAACAAUAACAGUUUGAGCAGUUUGAGCCAAACAUGUCCAGGCCCAGCUAGAAAUACGUAACAAAGAUCAUGUGACUGCUCUCUGCUCAGGUCAGAUGAUAACAUCCAACUACUUUUUUGUUACUCAUUGUUAGAAAGCAGACAUGCAGUCUCCUAACCUCCUCAACAAUAGGCAGACAGAAUCGUGACUAAAGCUUCAAAUGUUUACACCACUUUUCAGACUGCUACACCUCACAUAAUGGAGUCAUCAGGUUAGAGGUCUGGUCAAAUAUAAGGAUUAUCAAAGGAACAUGAUGUUGAAAGGUAAACUUCGACUACGCGCUCGCCCGGCAGGCAGACAGAGCUGGGAGGCAGCGCAAACAGAAUGGAUGUAUUUGCUUUUCAUGUGAAAAUCAAUGGGCCCAGACAGAUGGCGGUUUGUUUCCUCACUAUUUACUCCCCGGCUCCUUGACAAAUGUCCUCGCCACCCCUCCUGAGCUGACGCUGCACAGGUAAGCCAAGAGCCAUCCUUUCCUCUCCCACCCCAAAUGGAUGACAGAUGUGCAAGCUACCGCCUUGUUCCUUUCUCUCUCUUCGAAAGCCACCUCCAUUCCUUCAUCCACAGCAAACAACACUUGUUUAAGGAGAAAAGGUUAACUUGUUUAAGAAGGUACACCUUUCUACCUUCAUCUUUAUCAGAAACAGUCACCACCUUUACAAAGACAAAAUGUUCCACCGUUAACAAAUACAAGACCUUCAUCCUUACUGUACGUUGAGUCAUGGACGACAUGCGCUGUCUGUGGUCCGUUUCAUUUAAAGACAGACGGUUACAAAUACAUGAUGAGUACUUCAUGUCCGCCAUGCCUACAUGUCUGAACUCAGAGAAGGGUUAAUUUGACCUACUUUACAGGAUGUAUACUAAAGAGAGGAGACAGAUGAAAGACGCAUCAUCACUCUGUCCACAGGAUGAGUCUUGAAUGACUCAGACGUAUUAGAACAAUUUGAUUAUGUAUUCAUGCAAGAGCCAUAACAUCUCUUCAUUCCCGGCAUAAAAAAAAAAAAAAAAAAAAAAUCAUAUUUUCUAAUAUCAGCACGCCCACUCUGAAGCCAUUUUCCCCGGACACAUAUUUACACAAAUUGCCUUUACUGGAAUCUGUUUGAGCUGGGAUUGUGUGAGAGUAUUUUUCCUGCUCUCAGUCAGAACAAACUCCAGCUCUGGAGGCAGGAGUGAUCCUCGCUGGAAUCAGACUGAGGUCCGCACUGCUGAAUCUGUGGGUUUUAAUAGAGCCUCAUGUGGAAACAGACUUUCCUUCUGCUGCUAUGGGAGAUAUUUUUAGUCAGAUAGACAGUGGCACUUCUGCUCAAAUAGACCAAGACAACUCAGAAGGUAAAUGAUCUGAUUUGAAGUUUUUUUUUUGUUUGUUUGUUUUUUCUGAGACUUGGAGCAGUCUCCAUUUUUAUUUUAUAAGAGAAGGAGGGGUGAGAAAUAUGGAGGGGGUGGGCGCCUGCAAAAAAAAAGUCAGCAUUCCAGCAAGUGGAGCAGAGGUCGUGCGGGAAGAGUGCCUGGGUGGAGGUGUGGGUGUUGCGGUGGCGGUAGUGCAGGGGCGUAGCAGAGUUAAAGAGCAAAGAGCAGUUCCUGAUUCCACAACCCUGAGCUCACCGCCUUUAAGUGCCGGAGCCGCCAGCCACUCCUUUUCUCCUUCACACCAUCCUCUUCCCUCUCCUCCCACUCCCCUCCCCCUCCACCUACAUCGUGUCUCUCCAUCUGAGGUGUUAACUCUUUGUUGGGCUGUUCCAGAGCGGUUGGCACGGGACGACGGUUUUCAUGGAAGCUUUGGGAAGAGGCGGGCAUGCUGCUAUGGGUCCUUACUGGAAGUGAAGGCGUGAGUGCGGGUAGAGGACUGAGUGAUUCACUGAACAAAUGUUUUCUUCAUCACUUUGACAAUCAACCGCUAUGACCUGGCACUGACACACAUGUCAGCGCACAGACAUGCACAGAUGCAAAGCAGGAUCAAUCAGCGAGAAAAGGCAUACCAGUGUAGACUAAGGAGGAGCUCUGGAUUGGUCAUGCCUGUGUGUAACCCAUAAACACUAGGUUUAGUCAAGCCGCGCUAAAUCAUGAAUGUCUUCUGUAUGAGCUUUAAAAACAAUACCAGAUUAGUGAUAAAGCCAUCUGUUACUGUGUCAUCCUAUUUUGUUACCAAGGCCUGUCCACAAUAGAGCAUUAUUCCAGUAAAUAAUACCACUUAUUAAGCUGGAUUGGCAGGUGAAUACAAGAAUAGAGCUCAGACAACACAAACACGUCAUCGAGGAGGAAUAACAUCCUAAUAUGGACGGGUUAAGACGAGGAGGAUAGGGUGGGAACGUCUUACACAAGGCAUUACCUGGAAAGAGCAGGGUAGCCCAGAAGGUACCUGCUAUCACGCUGUAUUUACACGACACAGAAGUGAGAGCGCCUUUGUGUGUGUGUGUGUGUGUGGCAUUACACAAUACACACCGCAGACAGUGACAUUUGAAUGUGCUGAGUGUCCUUUUGGUAGGGAACACACAGGUGACGUGUACGCAGUGGAAAAAGAUGACCUUAUGAUAGAUCACCUGGUUCUCUCUUUCUCUCUUAACUUCUCUGUCUCUCUCUCUCCAGCCCUGUCACUGUCCUUUGUCUCGUCUCUAACCCUCCAUCUCCCGCCUACGCUGCCUUGUUCUCUCUCUCUCUCUUACUGUUAAAUAAAAUAAACAUAGCGCUCACAUGACUCCAUAUUGUCCUCUGGCUGCUGGGGAGCUAUAAAAAGAUCCACUUGGCUGCAUUUAUUUUUCAAUGAAUCUGGGCCGCGCCUCCUCCUCCCCUGCUGACGCUCCGCAGGAUCAGGUGGUAUAUGAUUAAGGGCGCUAUUACAGUUAGGCAGCUCUUGACUUUCCUCCAUAACCUCUGCUGGCAUAAUGUACUCUAAUGUGUUUGAGUUCCAUUUGAACUUCCAACUAUCCUGCCAUCCUGAGCACGUCAAUGACAAAUGUCCACCUUUAGAGAGCUUGUGCAAGUGUAAUUAGCAGAGGAAAGUCAAGGGGGUCCCAGAAUGUAAAGAUAUAAACUAUGGCGCCUCUAUGUUGUGAGGUAGUUAUAGUGAUGCAUUUCUUUCUGUUUCUGAACUUUCCCUGUAUUCUUUGACUCGAUUAUUCUUACUUUAAUUUGUUUUCUCGGGAGAGAGAGAAAGAAGAUGGUUAAUGAACUUGUUUCUUCAUGCAUCUGUGUGAGCUUCUGUGCUGCCGGGUUGUUGCGCCCCUGCGGUCCACACACAGAAUCAAGGAUGUCAAUGUAAACACAGUCAGUCAGCGCAAAGGAAUGUGUGAGGCAUGCAAAAAGCACUGGGGACAAAGUCCAGAGGAAGAAAGGAAAGGGGGGAAAAGGGAAAGGAAAGAGGGGGAGGAAAACAAAACAGAGAAGAGAGUGCGUUAAGAGAAAAUUAGGUGAAGAAGAGGAGAAGAAGGAAACACAAGAUGGUGUGAGAAGUUGAGAAAAAGAGUGGGAGAGGAAACAGAUUUUGAGGAGAACAGAGGAGGAUGUGAAAACUGCGAGAGGAGAUGAAGAAAGAGGAGAGGAUAAUAAAAAAAGAUGGAUGAGACUAAAGCGGCAUUCAGGACGCACAAACCUCAUGUAAACUUCCAAAAAAUGUCAGGUUGGGUCAAGUGAGGUGGUGACUGACUGAAGCAGGAAAUAUUCAGGACAUCACCAUGAGCCAGUGGGUGAGGGGGAAGAUGUUUGUAUCAUGCAACCAGUGUAAACACGGUAAAGGACACAUGAUGGGAUGAACAAAACGUCUGAGGUCGAAGGUGGAAGAAAGAGAAUUCUCUCAAAGACGUGAACAGCAAAGAUUGGCUGCAAGUUUGUCAACAUGUACCAUGAAAUAGAUGCGUAAGGGUCAUUAUAGGGGAGACCAGGCCUUGUUGUCACAUGGGUAAGUUAUCACUCUGCAAUUAUCUUCCCCACAAGAAGGCGCAACCAAAAAGUGGAAUACUAGUUUAACUAGUUUUGUCCUGUCUAAGAACGAUUAACCAUUUUACACAACCCAAAGUAAAAAAUUUUAACUUUAUAUAUUUAUAAAAAAGCUUCAGUGAUACGUGUGGACUUGUUAGAGGAGAGAUCGAGGCAUCCUGUCAUACUUCAGUCAUUGUUCUGUUUUAAGCUAACUUUAAGCUAGAGUGCUAAUUAGCAAACAUGGUAGUUUUGGCGUUAGUUGUCAUAUGUUUAAAAGGGAUUAAAAUUAACAUAGAGGGCUCUAUUUUCAUGUACACCGGUGAGGUGGCGGACCCCGCGCAGUUGCAUUUUCAUCUGGCGGAGCCCGGCGUACAGCCAGUUUGGUAUUUUCGUGGACUGAGGCGCACAGAGGCUAACCGAGAUCCGCCGGUCUUUCAUCUGGAACACAUUUUGUUUACUUAUGAUGUAUUGAUUCCAAGUAAUAUAUAAGAGUGUAAAAAGUGUGACAACAAGCCCUGGUCUCCCCUACUGUAAGUCUUAGCCAUGUCAUAAACAUUGAACUGUAACUCCCACAGUGUGCAUUUGGUGUCAUUUCCUGCCUCCAGAGACUCAUCCAGGAGUGCGUAGUAGGAGUGAAAGAGGUCAAAGGAAGAAGGGAUGUGGACCAAAGUAAGGAGUGGGAGGGAGUGGGAGGAAGAAGAAGGAGGAAAAGGGGACCUCAUCCUGCGGGCAGAGAGAUGAAGAGAUGGAGGAGGAGUAAGUGGGGGAGGAAGAGGAAUGGUGAGACAGAUUGAAAAAAAAAAGAAGGUGAGUGUACAGGGGAGGGUCAGUGAAGGGCAGGCGGGUGUAGAUCAUCCAUUCAGAGUCGGUUGGCGUGAGGAAGGAAAAGCCAUAAGCAACUUCAAAGGCCUUGGGGGGGCCUUGACAGAGAGUGGGGUUAGAGUUCUGUAAUCCAAAGAGAGGUUAGAGGCCUGAAACUCCGGUUGCUGGAGCUGCUGAAACUAAUUUAACCAGAGGGCCCCCAGAGGCCCCCACAGAGGGGCCAGGUCGUAACCGGAGGAGCUGUUGGUGACAAAGUGCAGCGGGCAAAAGGCAGCAAAGGGGCUUCAACACACAGGGCAAAUGGCCUUAUAGCACACACACACACACACACACACACACACACACACACACACACACACACAGAUCCAGUCCUACACAAUUGCUUGCAUGCUUUAACUGAACAUGUAGGAUCAUACAUAUUAAUAUAAACAGAUGUUUGCCUUUCUAAGGGAGAUAUGCUGAGGUCUACAGUUUAUAAUGCAGAGCAGUAAUAAUGUUUUCAAUAAUAUCUCCAUCAGACCUACAAGACCUUUAAGUUUAACAUAUGUGUCUCAGAGAAAAGACUUGUCCACUCCACACAGGCUCCUGUGGAGAACUGAAAUGAUAAAAACAGAUGCCUCUCGUUCCUAACUAAGUCUAAUUGACGUGUGGGCGAGAAGGGAGGGGCAUGCAGAUCAUCCUAUAACACACUACUCACAUUCAAGAGAAAAGUUGAGGUUUUAUGUUCAAGUAAUUAUGUUUUACAGUCACCCAAAGUGAAAUCCUGCUUUGCUGACACAUAUGGAAUUACUGUACAGGCUCUCAAGCAGCCAAAAUGACAGAAAACCGUUAAAUCUGAGUAGGCUCUGUGAAAGGAGACACUCUUGUGAUGAAGCUCCGGCGCCCGAUCUCAGCCUUUGAAUGGACUGAAUGUCAACGGCAGGGUCCAAGUGUAGACGCACUGAAUAUGAACAUCAGCAGCCUCAGCCUACAUAUUAUAUGCACAAAAAGGAUUUGACAUCUGGCAAGGAGUGUAUGAGGAGUGAAAUGUGUGUGGGUGUGGGGAAUGAAUACAUACAUAUAUUCCUUUUAUGUGUUUAAUGAUGUACGUGCUCCGUACUUGCACACCUUGUGUGUGUAUGUGUAUGCGUGUUUUUGAGUGUGCGUGCGUGACGGAAAGCCGUGUCUAAUGAGUCAUCCUGUGUUAAUCAUGAAGAAAGGCUUGGAUCUCAUUCACAUGCUUGCUUGACUGCCCAUAUGGGGCUGACCAUACACUCUGUAUGUAAACAGGCUAGAUGUCGGGUACUCUGUGCUGUGAUAUGAUACUGAGACAGAAGGGGAGGUAAUGAGUUGACUCAUAUCCAUAGUCAUGCAGGAAAAAUGCACUUUAUGUUGUCCUAAAGAAGUAAAAAGGGUCUUUGAAUGAGGUAGGCAGCAGAGAGCCUGUGGGUGUCUGGAAUUUUGUACAAUAAGAACACAGGAAGUACAAUUAAAGCUGCAGGUAAGAAAGCGCUCGGAGCGAUGUGAGAUUGUAGGUGUGCCGGCAUGAGAGAAGGAGAAAGUGUUGGUAAGAGUUUCUGUGUGAAUAUGUGUGAAAUCAUGUGUGUGGCUGCGUGGGUUGCUGGCCCCUCUGCUCUGUGUGGGUGGGUGUUGGUUUGAUUAUAGGGUCUCCGAGCCAGGAACUUUAAGCACUUCUGUCUGUCACAAUCAUGAACCAAAGCACAACAGAUGUGAGAAAACUAUAUGAAAAGUUCAGAUAUGGAUGUGUGUACUGUGCGGAUGUGAGGCUUAUUUCAGUUUUAAGUUUCAACUGGCCUCUUGAAAUUGUUCAAACUCAUCCUCACAGCAUAAUUUCUCGAACUUAGGCUACUACUUAAUUAAACCAAGGCUUCAUAAAAACUGUAUUCUGUGGAGUUACAGUUAAAAACAAAGAGCAUAAUUACCUGAGCUCAUGUUUUUGAGUGAUUGUAACAGUUAAUUGAUUGCAGUGUAUGGGAUUGACAGGCAUAAUCAAUCAAUCAAUCAAAUGUUUGUUUUAAGGCACUUUUCAUACAUAGAAUGUAGCACAAAGUGCUGUCCAAUCAAGCGGGAUAUUGAAAACAAUGAAAUAAAAUAAAUAAAAGAUACAAAUACAUAACCUCACCCACCCUCCCAACCCCCAUUCAACACAUACAGCACUCACACUCUCACACACACACAGAUGCACACUCAAAAGACCAGGUGAGGACUCUUCAACCUGCCACUGAUGACUGAGGAAACGCUAACUUGAGUAAAAAUAAUGAAGAAACACUGGAUCUAGGACUAAAGCGAUAAAACCAUGAUAAAUAUAAUAAAGGUGAUAAAGCGUUAAAAGUUAAAUUAAAUGGAACAGUCUUAAAAUCAAACAAUAACAGAAAGUAAAUUAAAAAAGAGGUAAUAAAACACAUAAUAGUUACUCUAGGACUAAAAUAGCAUAAAAUCACAUGAUGCAGAUUAAAAGAUUAAAACAAACUUAAAUUAAAAGCCAGAUUAAAAAGGUAGGUCUUGAGUUUAAUUUGAAAAAUAGAUUUAAAGGAACCUUAGAAAUUUUCCAUCAUGUUACUAAAGAAACUCAGACAUGCUCCUGCUAUAGGAUCUUUGUAAUCCUCACUCUCCAACUUCUUCAUUCCUAUUUAACUCACACAUAUUUACCUGUAAAUAUGCUGCUUUAAUUAGAGUUUUGUGUAAAGAAGCACACUGAACAGCAUGCUAAUAUACUCCAAACCGCAUGCCACUCAGUCAGAUGCUACUCCUAUCUCCUUCAACCAGGAGCACAUCAUCUGUCUUUGACUGCAUGGCUUUUACACACAUUUGAUUUACUGCUAUCCCUUUGUUUCCCCA